UGAAUACGAGAUGCUACGGCGUCGAAGCAGUGUAUGUCAGACUUCCAAGAAAAGCUCGCAAUGUCAUAAAUAAAGAAUGCCUGUACCAUAACCGACACAGGUGGGUAGGUAGAGUAUACUAAGGGGCGCGAGAUAACUCUCUCUAAGGAACUCGGCAAAAUAACUCCGUAACUUCGGGAGAAGGAGUGCCUUCUUUAAGAAGGUUGCAAUAACAAGAUCCAAGCAACUGUUUAUCAAAAACACAGGUCUCCGCUAAGUCGUAAGACGAUGUAUGGGGGCUGACGCCUGCCCAGUGCCAGAAGGUUAAAGAAGCUGGUUAGCAAUAGCGAAGCUGGUGACUGAAGCCCUGGUGAACGGCGGCCGUAACUAUAACGGUCCUAAGGUAGCGAAAUUCCUUGUCGGGUAAGUUCCGACCCGCACGAAAGGCGUAAUGAUUUGGAUACUGUCUCGGAGAGGGACUCGGUGAAAUAGACUUGUCUGUGAAGAUGCGGACUACCCGCACCAGGACAGAAAGACCCUAUGAAGCUUUACUGUAACCUGAAAUUGAAAUUGGACUUUAUUUGCGCAGUAUAGGUGGGAGGCGUUGAAAGUAAUCUUGCGGGAUUAGUGGAGCCAUCAGUGAGAUACCACUCCUAUAAUGUUAGAUUUCUAACUUUGGAUCAUGAUCUGGUCAAAGAACAGUUUCAGGCGGGCAGUUUGACUGGGGCGGUCGCCUCCCAAAUGGUAACGGAGGCGUACAAAGGUUUCCUCUGAACGGGUAGAAAUCGUAUCUAGAGUGUAAAGGCAUAAGGAAGCUUGACUGUGAGACCUACAAGUCGAGCAGGGACGAAAGUCGGUCUUAGUGAUCUGACGGUGCUGAGUGGAAAGGCCGUCACUCAACGGAUAAAAGUUACUCUAGGAUAACAGGCUGAUCUCCCCCAAGAGUUCACAUCGACGGGGAGGUUUGGCACCUCGAUGUCGGCUCAUCGCAUCCUGGGGCGGUAGUACGUCCCAAGGGUUGGGCUGUUCGCCCAUGAAAGCGGUACGCGAGCUGGGUUCAGAACGUCGUGAGACAGUUCGGUCCAUAUCCGGUGUAGGCGUUAGAAUAUUGAGAGGAGCCUUCUCUAGUACGAGGGGACCGAGAAGGACAUACCUCUGGUGUACCAGUUAUCGUGCCAACGGUAAACGCUGGGUAGCUAUGUAUGGAGAGGAUAACCGCUGAAAGCAUCUAAGUGGGAAGCCCACCUCAAGAUGAGUAUUCUCAC
RNAcentral lists this ribosomal RNA (1244 nucleotides) under metagenome. RNAcentral describes it as "bacterial LSU rRNA". It matches the Rfam family "Bacterial large subunit ribosomal RNA", at positions 1564 to 2817 of the family's 2925-position model. The record is from RNAcentral.